UUUACUACUUGGAUAACCGUAGUAAUUCUAGGGCUAAUACAUGAAUAAAWCCUCAACUUCGGAAGAGGUGUGUUUAUUAGUAUGAAAACCAUAUAUCUUCGGAUAUAAUAGUGAGUAAUAAUAACCUUUCAUAUCGUAUGUCGUAAGAUAACGAUAGUUCUUUCAAGUUUCUGCCCUAUCAGCUUUCGAUGGUAGUAUAUGGGACUACCAUGGCAGUAACGGGUAACGAAGAAUUUGGGUUCGAUUUCGGAGAGGGAGCCUGAGAGAUGGCUACCACAUCCAAGGAAGGCAGCAGGCGCGUAAAUUACCCAAUCCUGACAUAGGGAGGUAGUGACAAUAAAUCACAAUGCGGAACUUUUA
RNAcentral lists this ribosomal RNA (360 nucleotides) under Blastocystis sp. RNAcentral describes it as "SSU rRNA". The record is from RNAcentral. Lineage: Eukaryota; Bigyra; Opalinata; Blastocystidae.